Molecule: long non-coding RNA, 428 nt
Organism: Otolemur garnettii (small-eared galago)
Lineage: Eukaryota; Metazoa; Chordata; Mammalia; Primates; Galagidae
Exons: 2
Source: RefSeq, a predicted model, not a curated record
GCUGGGACUGGGAAAAAGAGGUCCCCUGUUGCUGUCCAUGCGGCCCUGUCCCCUCCCCACUGAGCAGGGUGCGCCUCGUUUCAUCACAGCUGACGUGUGUCCAGGGGAGGGUUUCUGAGACCUAGAACAUAGCCUGUGUUUUGUAGACCAGGCUGUUAUUAUUAGGGAAACCUUAAACCUGUCUGAAGACAAUCAGGAAACAUUCUCUGGGCAUCUGCGGUGUGUUUCCCUCCUCCCUGUGAUCUGUGUCCCCUGAAGCCGACUCCGCCCCCGCUCUGGCUUCCAGCUGGAGAUUGGAGGCUGUGAAGAGAAUGUACCUGCCAGCCCACUGCUCAGGCCCCUUUGACCUUGUCUUGUCAUUGUAUAUUUUAAUUGCUUGGAAUAAAUAUUAGAAUGCUAAUUAAAAGAUUGUGUUUUAAAAAAUUAAA